Molecule: unclassified non-coding RNA, 204 nt
Filed under: Hevea brasiliensis (rubber tree)
Lineage: Eukaryota; Viridiplantae; Streptophyta; Magnoliopsida; Malpighiales; Euphorbiaceae
Source: RNAcentral
UGCUCGUGGGUGUGGGAGAUGAAGAGGACCUCGUAGAUGACGCCGGCGAGGCCACCGCCGAUGAGUGGGCCAACCCAGUACACCCACUGGGACUCCCAGGACCAGCUGACGAGGGCCGGGCCGAAGGAGACGGCCGGGUUCAUGGAGGCGCCGUCGAACGCGCCGCCGACGAGGAUGUUCGCGCCGACGAUGAAGCCGAUGGCG